Molecule: ribosomal RNA, 214 nt
Filed under: uncultured bacterium
Lineage: Bacteria
Description: partial 16S ribosomal RNA
Rfam family: Bacterial small subunit ribosomal RNA
Source: RNAcentral
AAGCCGUUCUCAGUUCGGAUCGGAGUCUGNAACCCGACUCCGUGAAGCUGGAUUCGCUAGUAAUCGCGCAUCAGCCAUGGCGCGGUGAAUACGUUCCCGGGCCUUGUACACACCGCCCGUCAAGCCAUGGAAGCCGGGGGCGCUUGAAGUGCGUUGCCGCAAGGCGCGCCCUAGAGCGAAACCGGUGACUGGGGCUAAGUCGUAACAAGGUAAC